This 7174-nucleotide long non-coding RNA is filed under the name Lactuca sativa (garden lettuce). RNAcentral describes it as "long non-coding RNA (LSAT_LNC008913)". The record is from RNAcentral. Lineage: Eukaryota; Viridiplantae; Streptophyta; Magnoliopsida; Asterales; Asteraceae.
GAAAUAAAUAAAGAGAGAGAGGUUAUUAUGAUUUAUUAAUAUGUUAUAAGAAUGAUAUAUUAAAGGAGAAAUCAUAUUUGUUUAAUUAAUAUUGGUCAAUAAUUAAUUAAGAAUUAAUUUUGUGAUCAAGUGUAAUUAAUUAAACUAGAGGGGCUGAAUUGUAAUUAUGUGAUAGUUACAAAAUAAGGUAAGGAUUAUCUUAUAUAUAUGGUGAACGAAUUUGAGGUGUAAAUCCCUUAGAAUUCGACUAGGAUAAGGGUUUCUAGGACUUAUCUUAUGGUUGCUUGGUGGACAAGCAACUAGAUAAGGAUAAGGACUAAAACCUUAAUCUUUACACCUAUAUAAACCCCCUAGGGCUUAGGAAUUCGUCUAACCCUUCCCAAGAGGUCCUAAGGACGAAUUCUAACCUCCCUCCUCUCUCUUUAUACCUUCUCCACUUGCUUAUGGUGUUUGUAAGCCAUUAGAGGAGUGACACUUGUGACUCUCAGCUUUCCAAGGUCAAUUCAAGGAGGAAUUGGAUUGUUAUUGCUAUAUAACAAUCAAGGUAUGUUCUUAAACCUAAUUACAUGUGAAUUCUGAUUUCCAUAUGCUAGAAUUAGGGUUCAAAGUCUUGGAUUCAAAGUAUGUACAAUAGAGAAACCUAGAUCCAAGCUUUAGGGUUUGUAUGAGCACAUAGGAUGUCUUAUGACCAAAACCCAUCAGUGGUAUCAGAGCCAUGAUUGGUUUCUAUUGUAUUGAUGCUUGAUGUAACUGAAAAUCGUGUUUUGGCCUCACUGUUCGACCUGACUCGGCGAGUCACUCUUGGACUCGGCGAGUCAGCCCUACUCGGCGAGUUCCAGAGGGUGACUCGGCGAGUCGGUGCGUCAGACAGUGCUUAUCUCGGGAUUUCUUGCUGUUUUUGCAUUGGGAUAAUUACCUUAUCAUGUUAGAUUAAUAUUAAUCCGAUUAUAUGAUAUAUUUGACUAUAUUUUUAAUCUAAUUGAAGAUAUUUAUCAAUUAAUAAGAUAAUUGUUUCCUUAUAAGAUAAUUGAUUAAUUAUUUUAAGUAAAUUGAUAAAUUAUUUUGCAAGAAAUCAUCAAAUAUGGAUAAUUAUGUGAUUAAAUGUUAAUUUGAAUUAUUUGUUAUUUGAUCCUUGUUGUUGUGAAAAGUUUCAUAUUUGGCCCUUUAGGUUUUAUAGUUUAAAUUUGAACCCCAAAAGUUUUGUUGUUUUGAAAUUUAAAUAGUUGAAACCCUAAUGUUUUGAAAAAGGUUUCAAAACUUGCCCUCAAGUUUUGGAAUUUAAAUUUUGAUUAAAUAGUUUAAUUUUGAUGCAUAUUUAAAUUCUAAACCCUAAUGUGUUGAAAUGUUUCAAAACUUGCCCUCAAGUUUUGGAAUUUAAAAGUUGAUUAAAAGUUUAAUUAGGAAUGUUAAAUUCUAAAACUCUAGUAUAGUUUUGAAAAAGUUCACAUCACACCCUUAUGGUUUUAUUAAUUAAUUAAGGUGUAUAAUUAAAAGAGGUUUAAUAAAUCCAUAAAAGUUUAGGUUUACAAUUUAAUUGAAUUAAAAGUAUAAUUGUUAAAUUAGACCACCUAGUAUUUUAAAAGUAUAAAAUACACCCUAUACUAUAUAUAACAUUAAAAGUCUAACAUUAUAUAUAUGUAUGAGUAAAAGUCAGUCUUACCGUUAGUAGGCCUCAUUCACGAAGCUGGUCUAUAAGGGGUGUUUAAGGAAAUUGCCUAUAAAAUGGCGAUUGAAUGGGUAUCCACUCUUACCCACCGCACUCUUGACUAGUGGAGGGUCGUUAGCCGAACGGGUAGGAUAGGACGAAACCUUCCAUUAUAAGUAUAAUGAAUUAUUAAAGUAACUAAAUGUUUUCAUAAAAUUCCCAAUCUUAGUUACUUAGGCAAAAGUGAAUUGAUGCAAUUCCAUGAAAUUACACUUUGUGCCCUUGCGAAGACGUUAGUGGAGCGUGUGUGGUUUACCGGCACACUAAAUGGUUCUAAGCAAAGGUAGCAAAGGGUGACUCAAUGUUUGUCAUAGUUCGGUGGAGCGUGUGUGGUUUACCGGCACAUCGAAUAGGUGACUGUAACAUGUGAGGGCACCAUGUAAGUUUGCAUGGUUAUUCACACCCGCUUUGUGAUCCUCGGCAUCCCAGUCACAAACAAGAGGGGCAUAUCGAGAUUUAAACAUGCCAUUGAAAGUUCAAUGAAUCUCAAAGGAUCUAGGAGUUUUCAUAGAUUUAAAACUUAAAUUUCUUUUUCGUUUUUCAUGGUGGAAAUUAGUGAAUCGUCAUUCACUUACCUUCAAAUAUUCUGCAAUUAGGGUUACGGCAUCCCUCUCCCGAGUUGUAGAAUAUUGUGUUGGGUCCUAGCCUUAGUAUCUCAUUUGGGUGAUUUACUAAGGACUCAAUCAAUCAACUAACUUGAAUUCGUUUUCUCCCGUUUUGUAGAUGUCAAAGUUCGACAACUAUGGUCUUCCCAAAUCCCGUGGAACAAGCAUUCCACAUGAAGAUGAUAUUCCACGAUUCGAUCGAGGAACAAGAAAUCAUGCUUCACUUCCUCCUCCUCCUCCAAUUAUUCUCCCUAACCCACAAGUUCAAAGGCUUGAAAAGUUCAAGAUCACUCAAGCCCUUUUGGCAAGUAAACAUAAAGAAGGAAAGUCGGUGUGUGCACACGUCCUAGGGAUGAAGUCACACAUUGAUAGGUUAAGAAUGUUGGGAUCCGUUGUCUGUGAGGAAAUGGCUGUUGAUUGGGUUCUUCAGUCACUUCCUAACUCAUAUAGUGAGUUCGUAAGAGAGUACUAUAUGAUGAACCGCGACGUGACCCUUAUAGAUCUCACCUAUAUGCUUAUUGCUGCUGAAUCAGCAAUGGUUUGGCGCAAUAGAAAAGCAAAGUUGAUUGGUGAAUCUGCCUUCAAGACCUCUAUGGAUAUAGACAAUGGCAACGAAAGACAUGCUAUGAUCGAAAAGUUUGAUCAUAAGAGAAAGGCAAUGUCUGAAGUAGUUCCAUGUCAUGUUCCAAAAGAGUCAAUUUGCUUUUAUUGCCAAGAGAAAGGGCAUUGGAGACGAAGCUGCCCCAUUUACCUAAGAGAUCUAAGAGAUGGGAGAGUCGAAACGUAUGGCUCUAAUAUAGGUAAAAUCCAUUAACUAACUCUUUUAAGCUUCUAUUCUAGAUUCUUAAUACAUAAUGUGAUAAGAUUACAAUUGAUGUUUUGUAGGAUCGAAGAAAAGAAAGGAAGCUUAAGGGAAGAAGUGAGCAGAAUCUAACCGUGAAGGAAUGGAUUUCGAUCGCAUUUCUCGAAGAUUAGAUUCUUGAGCUACUACUUAGAGUUAGAAUUAGAUUGCUAAGAAAGAUGUAUUAGCAUAGUUUUUCAAUGAAUUGCAUUGUAAGGACAAAUUUUUUCCGCAAUAAAAUAAAUUUUGAUUUUAUAUUAUUUAUUUAUCCUUGCAAUGGCGUAUAUGAAAAAUUGAUGUUUGAAUGUUUCUAUUAUUAGCAAUAAUGGAUUUGGUUCUUAUUAUGUUAUUUAUGGAAAGUCGAGAAUUUACCAAAUAGGGAGAGUUUCUCAUCGCCCAAGUUUCAAUUGGACAGAAACUUGGAAUCAUGCAACUUGGUUGCACGAUGAAUGAGAAAUUUCAUAUUUGGAAAUUAGACUAAUUCAUUGACAAAGUGUCAAGUGAAGGACUAGGAGAUCGAGUACACAAAGUUGCGUGUUGAUCAAGUCCACCAUAAGAGUAACAAAGAUAUUCGUCAUGAUUUACUAAAGGUUUAGUAAAUAUGAUUAUACUUACAAGAUUAAGUGUAAUUCUGAAUUGAUUGAAAAAGUUUAAAUCAAUAGCAGAACGAAUAAGAAGAAUCAAGUAGGCAGAAAGAUAAAAGUUUCUCCAUUCUAAGAAGAAGGGAGAGUACCUUUUAUGCUUUAUGAUAGGUCUUAAUGAUUAAGAACCAUAUCUCAAUUGAUCCUCUAAGUGAGUCUUAGUACAAUUGUAUGUCUAAGAAGAGGAAUCAAGAAUUGAAGAAAUGGUUAAAUCAAGAAGUCAAUCAUACUUCGUUCCAAAACAAGUCUUAGAGUUAAGAUUGUGACAUUGAGUGAUAAGUAUUAAGAAGGUUUAUAACAUUCAUCAAAUGUGGAAAGUUGUGAUGUCUUGGAUAAGACAAAGACCAACUAGGACCAAUUUAUGAAGUGUUUUGAUAAAAGCUACACUAACUCUUGAAUAUUUGUUUGUCAAGAAAUGUUUAUUGACAAGAGAAUCUUAUAUGUCAAGGAGUCAGUGGGAGUCUUAAUGGUCUUGAAAGGUUUCAAGAACAAAUCAAAUAAACCUUAUCGAUCAUCACUAGCACACGAGUUGAGGUUUACAACCUAUCGUGUUGACAUUAUUUUGUUUCUGUGCCAAUCCAAUCGAGUUAAUUAUGCAUGUGAGUUCUAUGAGUUCUCAUUUUGAACGCAUAAAAGGCAAAGCACCUUAAUCAAUGAAAGGUACAUUGAUAGGAAAGGGUGAGCUGCUUAACUACUUGGAAGACAUGGUGGGCAGCUGUGCUACCAUAAGGCAAGAAAUCAAGAUUAAGAAAGUUCGGUCCAUAUGAGUUUGAAUUUGUCGUAAACUUUGGUUUUGACAAAUUCACAUGGAUAGGAACACAUACACCGUUUAAAUCUAAGUGUCAUAAGAUUUCCUCCUUCAUGAAAAUGAUUGUGAGGAAAUGCUUUCACUAAGAAAGAUUUUAAGAAGAUAGUGAUUGUAAAAUUGCAUUCUCGAAUUCGAUUAUGGUUACGGUAUCCCUUUCCAUAAUUUGAAUUGUGAGGUUUGGCAAUUAGUCUUAAUUGUUUAGACACACAUAUGAACUAUCGAAGGCAAAGGUGUAUAAGUUCAAGAAGCCUUGAUAAAAGAUUAUCAAAGCACUAAGUAUUAGAAACAUGAACUUAAGAAAUUCAAUAAGUAUUGUUUUUCUGAAAGUUAAGAUGUUUAUGAAUACAUGUCGAAGCUAGUGGGAGCAUAAGUGUUAUGUUUUAUAAUAAUCAUCAUGAUAGUGGGAGCAUAAAUGUUAUGAUUGUAUGAUUAUUAAGGAAAGUAUUGCAAGUUGGCAAUAUUAAUUAUAGAAAACAAGAGUCAUACUUUGCAAAGUUGUAAGGGUGGAAUAGUUGUUUUGCUAUAAUUAAGGGAGAGAAUAUUAUGCUUCAUUUCAAAUCUAAAGGCUUAGGUUGAGAAAUGUUAAUAAAUUUAGUCAAAGGUACAUAGUGUGUUCUUAAAAUUUCGAUUAUGAUUACGGCAUUCCUCUUCACAAUUCGAAUUUUGAGAACAUAGCAAAUAAAACAUUAUGCGUCGUGUCCCAUACGCUUCGGGUAUAGGAUCGAUUGCAAAUGCUUUAAUGUUUGACCAUUCUAAAAUUUUCCAAAUGUCGAGCGCAUUUAGAGGGAAAAGGGACUAGAAUUGGUUUUGACUAAAAUAAUUAAACAACUAUCAAAGGACAAUCCAAAGUUCGACGAGGAUUGGUCGCUUGUGAGUAGUUGGAAGUAUAGUAUUGGAAAAUAUGGAAAUGUUUCCAUAUUGGAUGGACCAUAUCGACAUCAUUACGAAUAGAUAAGAUUCUAUUAAGAAUGAGUUGUCAUAUGGAACAUAUGGAAGUGUGUCCAUAUUGGGAAUUGAAUAUUGAGAAAUCUAUGACUAGAUUAGAAACUUCUAUGCAAAAGGAUGUUCAAAGAAUGUACUUUGAGUGAGAGACAUCACGUCUAUGGAAUUGUCUUGUAACAAUCUCCGAUAGAGGACUUUGUAAUAUCAUUGGCAAUAGUCUUUGUGACUUUGGUGCAGUGACAUUACGAAAGGAUAGUUGCAUAGAAUGUUAGAAUCUAGCAUAUUCUAUAAGUAGCAAGAAUUUGAUAUUCUUUAACUUAUGAAAAACGGAUUUGGAGUUGUGAAAUGAGAAGGAUUGGAAAUGUGUUCAAUGUGAUCUAUUUCACAAAGUAAGAACCAUAGGUAAACAUUGUGUGCAUGCUAGGAGCAUGGGACAAGUGUUGGAAUUCAAGUAAGAAGUUGAUUACCCGAAACGACAAAUAAUGAGUAAUCAAUAUGGUGAUAAAUAAAAGGUGUUUUAUUUAUACUCAAAGGUUUGAGGCCAUAUGGGAUUAGUAUUAUUCUUGUGUUUCACAUUUGCAUGUUUUGACUUCCAGAAUAAUUGAGUUUAUUAAGAAUAAUCGAAUUAUUCAAACGGGCCACAGUCGUUCAUAUGUUGGAAGUAGAUAUGAAUGAAGACUGUCGUGAAUUGGUGUGUGGAUUGUCUAAAAGAGUAUUAGACAUAAGCAAAUGUUUGCUGCAACGUUCAUGAGUGCUUAUGAAUGUGAUUUGAGCAUUGGAUUAAACCCACGCUCACUUGGAUCACUCCAUGAAUUGUAUCACGAGUGAUUGGUGAGACGAUAACAUCUUAUAUUCUUGAAACCGAGAUGUGUGAGUUGUAUCUUGCAAAUCGGUUGCACAUUGAUAAUAUGUAAACGCACUAGUAACUUGGUGUUAUAAAACAUAUUGUUGUGUGUGAUUCGGUGAGUGAGUGCAAGCAAGCAUUGUAUCAAAGUUUAUCCGUUCCUUUUAUCCAAAGUAGGAUAAAAGCGAUAUCUUUGGGCCCCUCGAUGGUUUAGUGAUGACAAACGUAAAUGCUCGGCCGGGCUAGGGCUAAUUUGAUUUGUUCAAUUAGUCAGUCGUCAUAAAUCGGGAAUCGAGAUAUAGUACAAAGAGAAUGAUUUGAAAUCAUAUCUCAUAUGAUAUCUAGAAUGGAGGAAUAUAUGAUCCCUUAUCUAAGGACACGCGUAUUUGAUAUGAUCAGAGUUGACAGCGGCUUUGGAAAGCUACGAUUGCAGAUCGGGAUCCGAAGUCAUACGCAGAAUAGUUAUUAGACUUAUCCAAGUGGGAGACUGUUGGAUUAGUGUCUAAGUCCAUAACUAUUUUGGUAUGUACUUGACCCGAUGGUGCAUGGUCCUUUUGGGUUGCCUUCACCAAAGCAACUUGAUUGGAGAAAUAAAUAAAGAGAGAGAGGUUAUUAUGAUUUAUUAAUAUGUUAUAAGAAUAAUAUAUUAAAGGAGAAAUCAUAUUUGUUUAAUUAAUAUUGGUCAAUAAUUAAUUAAGAAUUAAUUUUGUGAUCAAGUGUAAUUAAUUAAACUAGAGGGGCUGAAUUGUAAUUAUGUGAUAGUUACAAAAUAAGGUAAGGAUUAUCUU